GCUCCUGCUCAUUUUCUGCAGCUCUCUGCCUCUGUCUAGAAGUUUCUUCAACCAAAUCUUCAACUCUCUGCCGCAUCUCAGUCAGGAUAAGAUUUGUACCCAGAGCAAAUCUUUCCAUUUCCUCUAACUUAAUAGACAUGUUUUCAAUAAGGAGCGUCUUCCUUUUAAUCUCUUCUUCACCUACUGUUACCUUGUCUUUCUCUAUAGCAGUUUCAGAUUCCGCCAUUAUAAUCCUCUUGACAAGACUUUCCAUAACAUCUGUAACCAAUUGUACACUUCUGAGUAAUUCACUCAUAUAAGAUCCAUCUUGUUCAUCAAGUUGACCAUGUUUACUCGAAAGUCUAAUCCAUAAUUCAUCAUCAGCAUCAUUAAAAGAUGAGAGAUCAACAUCCCUAGUCCAACUGGAUAAUGGUAUACCAUUUUUAUCAACAAUACCCACUCCAUCUAGUUCUUUGAUGCCGCAUGAGGAAUGGGCCAAAUCUGGAACAGCCACGACUCUGGCUUUAGCUUUCAAGUACGUCAUCAAUGUUGUAGCAGUUCUUACUCUAUGCCAUAGAACAUCUAACUCCUUCUUUGUAUCUUCUUCUGAUCCCUGAAUAGAAGCUUUUACCUCCAACAGUUUUGCUUGUAAAGCAUCCACUUGGGACUGGCUUUUCUCCAUCUCUAGCUUCCAAGUAACGUCAGUUUGAGUCAAUUGGGAUUUUAAAGCUGAGAGAUCAAUAUUUCCCUCCCCCGCCAUCACCUUAUCAAGUCACUGAUGUGAGUUCAGGAACCUCGCAAAAUUGAGGAUAAUUUUGGGUGUUGAUGAUGAUGAUGCUUACAGUCUCAUAGAAAAUUAUCAAUGG
This 845-nucleotide unclassified non-coding RNA is filed under the name Hevea brasiliensis (rubber tree). Lineage: Eukaryota; Viridiplantae; Streptophyta; Magnoliopsida; Malpighiales; Euphorbiaceae. The record is from RNAcentral.